This 641-nucleotide ribosomal RNA is filed under the name uncultured bacterium. RNAcentral's name for it is "bacterial SSU rRNA". It matches the Rfam family "Bacterial small subunit ribosomal RNA", at positions 746 to 1379 of the family's 1533-position model. The record is from RNAcentral.
CUGAGGAGCGAAAGCGUGGGGAGCGAACAGGAUUAGAUACCCUGGUAGUCCACGCCGUAAACGGUGGGUACUAGGUGUGGGUUUCCUUCCUUGGGAUCCGUGCCGUAGCUAACGCAUUAAGUACCCCGCCUGGGGAGUACGGCCGCAAGGCUAAAACUCAAAGAAAUUGACGGGGGCCCGCACAAGCGGCGGAGCAUGUGGAUUAAUUCGAUGCAACGCGAAGAACCUUACCUGGGUUUGACAUGCACAGGACGACUGCAGAGAUGUGGUUUCCCUUGUGGCCUGUGUGCAGGUGGUGCAUGGCUGUCGUCAGCUCGUGUCGUGAGAUGUUGGGUUAAGUCCCGCAACGAGCGCAACCCUUGUCUCAUGUUGCCAGCACGUAAUGGUGGGGACUCGUGAGAGACUGCCGGGGUCAACUUCGGAGGAAGGUGGGGAUGACGUCAAGUCAUCAUGACCCCCAUUAUUCUCCAGGGUUAUCACACAUGACACAGGGCCGGUACCAAGGGCUUCGAUUCCGUGAAGUUGGACGGAAUCCUUUGUAAAGCCGGUCUCAGUUCGGAUCGGGGUAUGCAACUCGACCCCGUGAAGUCGGAGUCGCUAGUAAUCGCAGAUCAGCACGCUGCGGUGAUACGUUCCCGGGC